This 521-nucleotide ribosomal RNA is filed under the name uncultured bacterium. RNAcentral's name for it is "partial 16S ribosomal RNA". It matches the Rfam family "Bacterial small subunit ribosomal RNA", at positions 355 to 889 of the family's 1533-position model. The record is from RNAcentral.
UGGGGAAUAUUGCACAAUGGGCGAAAGCCUGAUGCAGCAACGCCGCGUGAGUGAUGAAGGCCUUCGGGUUGUAAAGCUCUGUCUUUUGGGACGAUAAUGACGGUACCAAAGGAGGAAGCCACGGCUAACUACGUGCCAGCAGCCGCGGUAAUACGUAGGUGGCAAGCGUUGUCCGGAUUUACUGGGCGUAAAGGAUGCGUAGGCGGAUUUUUAAGUGAGAUGUGAAAAACCCUAAGCUUAACUUGGGGACUGCAUUUCAUACUGGAAAUCUAGAGUGCGGGAGAGGAGAAUGGAAUUCCUAGUGUAGCGGUGAAAUGCGUAGAGAUUAGGAAGAACACCAGUGGCGAAGGCGAUUCUCUGGACCGUAACUGACGCUGAGGCAUGAAAGCGUGGGUAGCAAAACAGGAUUAGAUACCCUGGUAGUCCACGCCGUAAACGAUGAGUACUAGGUGUAGGAGGUAUCGACCCCUUCUGUGCCGCAGUUAACACAAUAAAGUACUCCGCCUGGGAAGUACGAUCGC